Long non-coding RNA from Equus caballus (horse), 907 nucleotides. NCBI's taxonomy places the organism in Eukaryota, Metazoa, Chordata, Mammalia, Perissodactyla, Equidae. The record is from Ensembl.
CUAAGGCUGGACCAGGGCUGCCUGGGACACUCGAUUCAGUGUGCGCCUCGUCUUCUCGGUGCUGGAAGCUUCUUAGUGGUGGAGAGACCCCUGAGGUCUGCACAGCACUGCACCCAGGGCAACUCCCCCGCGCCUCCCCCACGGCUGGGCCGGCCCACUGGUUCCCAUCCUCAUGGGUCUCGCUGCUUGACUGGCUCAGCGUGGGCUACCUGGUGGAUGGAAAACUGGAGCCAGGAGACCUGGUUCUGGUCUCAGCUCUGCCACGUUCUAGCUCUGGAACCUGGGGGAGUUCUCCCUGAGGAGCCCCCUUUUCCUCGCAGAGAUGUCGGCCUGGCCUGGGCUCCCAGAACAACGAUGGGGGCCCCUUUGCACUGGCCUGGAGGGAGCACAGACGCACGGCAGGAGGUCCAGCGCCAAAGGAGAACACCCACGGCUGAGCGCUUUCAAGCCAAGACCCUUGAUGCGGCCCAGGAGCCCAGGAGUCCUGGACCGGCUCUCACAAUUUUCCGUUGUGAAGUCUUCCCAUGGCGACUGGCCUCCCCCUCUCUGCUGUCUAACACCUGCAGCCUCGGUGUCUCCCGGGCCGAUGCUCAAAGUUUCCACUUUAGUAUCCAGUUGCCCUGGUCUGGCCUAAGGCACAUCCCCAAGCAAGGCCACCACGCUUCCAAGGCUUCCCCUGCCGUCACCGCACGCCCUCCGUGGGGCCGUGUGAUCCUCUGUGCCUUGCUUGCCCCAUCUGUAAAACUGGCCCCCAGCUCACGGGGCUGGACGGUGACACACAGAGCCACCCGGCACAGUCGGUGCUCAGGCAGCUUCACGCUGUGAUCCCCCUCCAGCCGCUCCUCCCUCUCGCUCGGCCGCCUGGAGCUGGCCCCUCCCCGCACCUGCUCCCGCCCUGCGCCCCCGG